Gopherus flavomarginatus (Mexican gopher tortoise) is the source of this 783-nucleotide long non-coding RNA. RefSeq lists it as uncharacterized. The transcript is spliced from 3 exons. The record is from RefSeq and is a predicted model, not a curated record. NCBI's taxonomy places the organism in Eukaryota, Metazoa, Chordata, Testudines, Testudinidae.
UGGAUGUUAUGGGGGACAACAAAGGAUACUGGUUCCAGAGCCACAGAGCCUGCCUCACCUCACCUCAGCUUGGGGGAAAGAGUCACACUUACAGAAGGUCUGCCAAUUUGUAUCCAGACAACCUUUGAAAACAGAAUUUGCAAAUAAAAAAGACAGGCUUAGAGAGAUUGUACAAUAUACCUACAAAUGAAGAAGCUGAUUGUGAUGAGAUAGAACAAUUAUACAAAGCAUCCAGAUGUUUUCUGCUACAAGAAUUACAAUUUCAUCUCUUAAAAUGCCAGGAGAUUUAAAUGCAGCUUGAGCAGCCACACAUAGAUCUGUCCUUAUGCCGCUAUUUGCACAAGGAAAUACAGCCCUUACAGUUCUGUCUCAUACAACAAAUGUUCAGUUUCUAAAUGCAUAGUCUUCUACAUUUGGCAUACAACAUUACUCAGCUCCUAAGAUCUGACCCUGAAAAGCAAUGGAGUAAAGUGAAUGAGGAAAAUAUUGAUAUUGCUCAGAGCACUGUAAGAGAGGAAACCAACAACCCAGGCCCCGAGCAAGCAAUCAACAUGUAGGACUCAUUGUGCACCAUCGAGUUGAAAAAGUAAGUUGGGGAACAAACAGAAUUUGGAAAAAGAGCUGUAAUGACUGACACAGAACAUUACUUUAAUGAAAAGACUACAGCUCUGGAGGAAGUUGCAUGAAGACAUAUUCAUGCUGUAUUCUUUUGUCACUGCUCUUGGCCACAGAGCCAAGUUGAUAAUUAAUGGAGCAGCAAUAUUUGCCUAAUGGCAUAAACAC